GUGGGGAAUAUUGGACAAUGGGCGAAAGCCUGAUCCAGCCAUGCCGCGUGUGUGAAGAAGGUCUUCGGAUUGUAAAGCACUUUAAGUUGGGAGGAAGGGCAGUAAGUUAAUACCUUGCUGUUUUGACGUUACCGACAGAAUAAGCACCGGCUAACUUCGUGCCAGCAGCCGCGGUAAUACGAAGGGUGCAAGCGUUAAUCGGAAUUACUGGGCGUAAAGCGCGCGUAGGUGGUUCAGCAAGUUGGAGGUGAAAUCCACGGGCUCAACCUGGGAACUGCCUCCAAAACUACUGCGCUAGAGUACGGUAGAGGGUAGUGGAAUUUCCUGUGUAGCGGUGAAAUGCGUAGAUAUAGGAAGGAACACCAGUGGCGAAGGCGACUACCUGGACUGAUACUGACACUGAGGUGCGAAAGCGUGGGGAGCAAACAGGAUUAGAUACCCUAGUAGUCC
RNAcentral lists this ribosomal RNA (450 nucleotides) under uncultured bacterium. Its description in RNAcentral is "bacterial SSU rRNA". It matches the Rfam family "Bacterial small subunit ribosomal RNA", at positions 354 to 796 of the family's 1533-position model. The record is from RNAcentral.